AAUCUAAUAAAAAACUAUAUCUUCAUCUCUCUAAUUUUUGUGAAAAGAAGUCCAAAUAACAAAAUUUCAUUCCCAACAGCAAUCCCUCUUCUUUUUUUCUUUUACAUUUCACAUUUAUCAUCAACCAAAAAUCUUUUUCCUCCACUUGCUUUUGCUAGAAAAUUUUUUGCAAAUUAUAUCAGCAAAACAUAAGAAGGUGUUUAGACUCAAAUUUACGUUAUCAACCCGCACAAUCAAGGCCGCUGAAUGAGCAGGAUUUUAGACCGUUGAAAGAUAAAGUUGUGAAAUCCCGUCCCUGAUUUUUACUAUUGCAAACUAUGUAUGUGUAUUAAGGAGUUAUUAUAUUAUUUUUGGAAUUUAUAUUAAUUGUAGAGUGUUGAGAUUGUGUACUCAAAAGUUAUCAAGGUGAAAAAGCUACAAUUAAAGAGUUGCCCUUAAUUAAUUAAGGAGAAAAAAAAUUAAAGAAAAUGCCACCGGGGGGGGGGGGGGGUGGCUGAGAAAAGGAAGAAGAAGAAAAGGAAAGGAGGUGUGGGAGAGAAAGGAGGGAGGAGGGGGAUGAAUCAUGACACGCCCCGAUCCCGGUAUUCCCCGAAUAUUAUGAUAGGUACGUGCUGGUCGACACCCGAGGUGACGAAAGCUAUUUAUUGAAUACAAGAGUAAAGAUUAGAAGAAUAUAUAUAUAUAUAUAUAUAUAAUUAUCAAAAGGUCUAAAGGAAAUAAACAGUGCUUAAGAAAGUGGCUAGAGUGCACAUAGCAUGUUCUAAUUUGAGAUUUCAAAAGGAAAGACUAUUACAGAUAUCACACAAAGAAAAUGGAUGCAACUACUGGUAGGGGAAUGCCUCGUAUAUUGGGUCGUAGUCCUCGUCCCUAAGACCUGAAUGGGAGCGCAAAACAAUGGUGAGUGGACCAAGUUUAUAUAUAUACAUACUAUGAAAACAGUUAUAAACAUACUAACCCCCACCAUUAAGAUGAUGAAAACUACUAAAUAAUAAGUGAUAGGUUUCUCAAAACCUCUAGCAUGCCAUAAAAAUAAUUCAUAUAACUAUCUGCAAAUCAAACUCAUAAAUCAUAUCAAGAAGCAUAACACAAAUUGUGCUGCUAGUGAGUGCACCGAAUAAUAAUACUCCUGGGCCAAUGCCUGCACCUCAGUCUCUGUGCCCAUAGCCAAAGAUAUCUCCCUCCCGGCCCAAUGCCUUUCUCCGUGUCCCUCAGCCUUUCGCUAGGGAUUAUUUCUCCCGACCUCAAUGCUAACAUCAGAUCCUCGCCCCAGGCAGCAUAGUGUUCACUAGGUACGCACAAAACAUAAUUCAUCUCUAAAAUACAACUUCGUAGCAUAAAUUCAUCGAUCCUCUAUACUACGAAGAGGUGUUUGAAAGUCAUUUGAAACACAUUCUUAGCAUCAUAUCGUUAUCGAUCAGAUAGUCUACCAGAACGAGGGUUCUAUAGAAAAUACCAUAUGAAAAUAGUUCAAUAUAUAUAUAUAUAUAUAUAUAUAAUCAAUCAUAAUUAAAUCAUCAUGCUUCCUGUAAAGUAUUCCUCAAAUCAAUAAUUCUGCAAGGCAUGCUAUUAAAUUAUGCAAUUCUAUAAAUAAAACAUGCAAUUUUGAAGGUGGUCCACUCACAGAUACUCCAUAGCAGCAGAAUUAUGCGGAAAAAGAUUAAGGAAUUCCUCGCUAGCAAUUUCACCUAAACACAAGAGUGUACAAAUAAAUCAAACUACCCAAACGAUAUAAUUCCAAGAAAUGGAAAUGGGUCUUGGGUUUGGAUAGGUUAGGAACAAGAGGUGGUUUGGGUUUAAACCCCCUAUACUCACACACACACGGCACACACCACACACCACACACACCUGCACCACGUACAUACGUACUACACACACACAUGCACUACAACACACUCACAUGCAUGCACAGCACACAUGCGCACAUGCACUCACAUCAUAUACACAUACACACACACUGUGCUGCACACACACACACGGCACUGCACACAUACACUCACACGGACACACAUAUACACACAACAUACACUCACACAGCACACGCACACACCCACAACACAUAACACACACAUGCAACACACCACAUAUGGCACAGCACACACACACAACACACACUUACGACCCAUGCAGGGCACAGCCGUAAGCCAACUAAACAAAAAGGGAAAUGGGCUAAGCUAAGGCCCGAUGGUGAUUAAGAAGGCCGGAUGGCCUAGUGGCUUUGGGUGCAGAUCGGGGAAGAACACCAGAAAUUUUGAUCGGGAUUCCUCUCGAUUCCGAUUUGGACCUAAAACUAAGUAAAUAUAGGAAGUUAAAACAUAAAAAAAAUGACGCUGAGAGAGAAGGGAAAACAAGAUUAUACCUAGUUUAGAGCCACCCCAGCUGGACCGUGAAGAAGAGGUCGGAAAUUCGAUUUCGAAUUUCGUCAAAUUCUGGAAAUAAACACCUAAGGUAUGCAUGCAGAGAUUAGAAUCACAACUCAGGCUCAAAGGUCACCACAGAUAGACUACCACCAAGGGGACAAUUUAAACAUACCUGAGAUGGAAAUUUUGAGAGAGCUCAAGCUCUCGGGUUCACUGGUCACUGCAUUCGCAGUGCACCGAUGGUGCAUGCAAAGCUAUAGUUAGCUUCCUCAGGUUCCAGAGAUCCAAAAUAUGAGUAUAGAGUGUGCGAGUGCUAGGAAGAAAGAGAGAUGAAAGGGUUUUCAAAGUGAGAGCAAAGGUAGAGCUCUCGGAGCUUAGAGAAAGUUACGGAACUGGGUGCAGAAAAGAAUAAGGGAGAAGAUGGGUUCACAGGUUGGGUCAACCUUAGGCUUAAGAAAAUUAAAGAAAAUCUUGGGCCUUACAUUAAUUCACAAAGGAAUGAGCCUGGCCCAAUGUAAACUAGGUUAUUUUCAGGUAAGGGUUAUAACAAAUCAGAAGAGGGGAGAGGAAGUGACGAAUCAGGGAGGGAGAAAGAAGGGAAAGGAGGGAAGGAGAAAAUGAGGGGGAAAAUCGGUUUCCCCUUGACCCAUCGCGACCCUGUUUCGACCCGGUAUAAUUUCCGAUGAAAAUCGUCAAUUUUCCGACGAAUUGAGAUGAUUUACCACCACCAAUCAUCACUUCGUUACUCCUUCUUCAUCUUUCCACCUAAAAUCGAGCUAAUUUGGCCUUGUAUUCGUGAGAUAUGCACUGGUGGGUGGCGGGGUGGACAACGGCAAUUCCACCAUUUGUGAAGACAAAACCAUUGACUACCACCAUGGUUCAACUCCCCUUGAGGUCUGGAUGAAAGCCCAAACAAGUUUGGGGGCGGCGAAGCUAUGGAAUUGAAGGAUUGAGGCACACCCUUUUCUAGGGUUUCCGACGGAUUUAAGUGAAAUUGGAGCUCUUUCCGGCCAAAUUGGACUUGGCCACAUGUAUAAAGUUUGCUCUAAUCAUUGAUAUCUUCAUUUCUGUAAUUUUUGGUAAUUUUUAAAAAUAGUUGAAUUUUCCGGCAAAUUGGGGCGGCCGACCGCCACCCACGAUGGCGCGUGCAGCGGCAGCCUGGCCAGUGGGCCGACGAUGUCCUUUUAAGUUCAAAUAGAUUCCUUGAUUCCAUAAUUGAUAACCAUAUGACGUAAUUUGAUAGUUUGGACUUAGUUUCAUUACGAUACCUUACUUGGUCAAAAUAUGAAUCAACGAUCCGACCGUUGGAUCGUCAUCAAACCGUAAUGUGCGAUAGAAAAUAAUAUUUAUGGAUCAUAGAAACUUAUGGAUCUAGAAUCCGACGUACGGAUCUUCCCUAAUUAGAUUUCUAAGUUUGUAAAAUUAAUUGUUAACCGCCACCUAAUUCUAGCAAUUGGUGGAGAUCCGAUUGUUGGAUUGCGAUGAGAAUUUAGUAUAUGGUUCUAUGAGCAUAAUGUGGACUUUGGGAGGUUAUAGAUCGGAAAUCCGAUAUACGAAUCUUCCGGAUUGAAUUUCGCAGGGUUGUGGACCUUACCGUUGCUCGAAAGUUGACUUGUGGUCAAUAUGUCUCGAAACGUUUUAAAUAUUAAAUCUAGUACCACGGGAUACUAAGUAAGUCUAGUGGGGUCACAUUGGUUAGAGAGUGACUGGAAUAUAUGUGAUGUAAUUACUACCUUAAUUUCUUAUAUUAAUAUCAUUUGUGAAUAUGAUUUGGGCUAUAAAUGACAUUUAUAUUGACGUGUGAAUUAUAUAUAUAUGCCAUAGACCUAUGUUUAUUAAAUGUAAAUUCUAUUGAAGUGUUAUUUUUAUUUCGGACUAUUGAUCUAUUUUCAUUAAGUAUGAUUUGACUUGUGCAUUGGAAAUAUUGUUUGUAUUGUAUGAUUGGAUUGAUGUAAUGAAAUGCGAGGGCUAAUAGUGAACCGUUAACCCAUUGUCAUGGGGUUUGUUGCUUCGAAACAUGUUUCAACCCUUGUGUCAUUAUUUUAUUCUCGUUUUGUUGAGUCUUUGUAACUUGAGUAACUUGAUUCAUGUCUUGGUUCAUUGAUUGGUGUUAUACAUUAUACUUCACGAUUCCGUUGAGUGAUGGUCCAGAAUCGUGUCCUGGUUUGGAUUCCGUUCAGUGAUGGUUCAGAAUCCCUUCUACUCCGUGAUUCCGUUGAGUGAUGGUCCAGAAUUGUAUCAUGGUUUGGAUUUCGUUGAGUGAUGGUCCGUAAUCCCUUCUACUUCGUGAUUCCGUUGAGUGAUGGUCCAGAAUCGUAUCCUGGGUUGAAUUUCGUUGAGUGAUGGUCUGGAAUCCCCUUUGUUGUCUUGGCUCCGUUGUAGUUCGAAAUCCCGUUCUUCCGAGAUUUAGGCUUCAGCCGAAUUGUGCCGCUCUAGCCCUACAUUUUGAUUAGUGGUAUGUGAUAUUGAUGAUGCGAUGGUUGGCAUUAUUGUUUGAGGUGAUUAUGGAAUGAUGUUGGCUAUGGUUAUUGUAAUUAUGAUUAGACUCGUUUACCAUAGUGACUAGUGAAUAUGAUUGUGCUCCGUCGUUUGCUCUUUGUAAUAUUGUAUGAUAUGCAUUGUGAUAUAUUGUUGAGAUAUAGCGAUCUAUGUGAUGAAUAUUCGAGUGUAGUGAAAUGACGAACUACGAAUGGCUUGAUCCCAAAUGUGGGUACGUAGGAAGGCUAACGAGGAGGUUAGAUGCAGUCAUAAAGUAUACAAAAAUUCUAACGCAAUUCGAGUAUUGAAUUAGGCUUUAUUCAUAUCCCGAAGACAGGGUAUGUUAGAUAUAUGGUUAUUUGAUGACGUCACGUGUCGAUCUUGGACGUACGUCGGGAUCGGGGCGUGACAAAAGUGGUUGAAAUGGUUUUUAAUUAUUAUUAAGAAAUGAUAUUGUGAUUUUAAUCAUGAUAUUAUCUCUUAGUAAUAUAUUAAAUUAUUUAAAAUUGAUAUUUAUCUAAAUCCCAAUUUGAAUGAUGAUGGGAUAUUCAGUAUCUGGCAGUGCAGCUAAUACUGGAUUAAUUUCAUGCAAUUAAUCCAUGCAUGGGAUAAAGGUGAAAGAUGGUGAUGUGAUGUGAUUAGGAUGGUUUUAUCUAGAUAAAAAAAAAGGAGUAGGCUUCAACCUAUGGACAUGAUGGAAAAACUAAUUAUCAGAAGAUAGUGACAUGGUAAUUUCUUGACCAUUGAUCACAUGAUAAUGGGAUAAGGAGUAGGCGUGUUUGGUCAGACAUGGUGUAUUUAAAUAUUAAAGAUUUGUGGCGUAAGGAGACUCAGGGAUUGCUUCAGUUUGGUAGUCGUGAUACAUCAGAAGACCAAGAGAUUAUUUUCUAGUAGCCGUGACACGUCAGGAGACUCAGAGAUUUACGGCUUAGCCAUCAGCGAGAGCAACAUUAUAAAUACAGAGGCACUGUGCAUCGUAAAACCCCUCCAGUUCAACACAUAAAUUGCCCUACGCAAACCUCUCAAACACCUUUGAGACUUUUAUUUUCUUUUUUCGCCGACAUCUUCAGUUUGGAUAAACAGCACUGUUGUCAUAGAAUCAGCAGACUGAGGAGAACCUUCAGUUUGGAUAAACAGCACUGCGUCAAGGCCGACUGGUUACCUAUUCAAGUCUCGGUCGAGAAGGGUUUUCGAAUCCUUAUUGGCAUAUGUCAUCUUAUUAGUCUUCUUGACGAAGUGAGGUGUUACAGAUUACUGGGCUCGGCACAUUGAACGUCAAGUUGUUUAUGAUUGGAUAUUCAUAAGUAAGUUUCAGAGUUCGGCAUUUUGACAGCUGAACCACAUUCACCAUCAAGACAUACAUCUUUUUUGAGUACUUGUGUCCAUAUAGUUUGGAGCCGGUUCGACAUGCUUAUACUCUUACGAAUAUAAUCACCAUAACCAAACUUCGCAAGACUAGCAGCCUUGUCUUCAGGCUCUAGAACCCAAAAGCCGAGACGUGUUCCUUCCUCGGCUACAAUCGCAAGAUCAAGAAGUCAGCAACGUACCCAACACAACAUCAACAAAUUUUACUCAUCGACCGAGCUUGGCCGUCGAUUUGGCACGCCUCGCACACAACCGAAUGACGUAGUUAGCUUACUAAUUACUCGACAUGUGCGCCACGUAGGCUUGGUAGUUUUUAGGUCAACAGAAGGUAUUUCUAUUCUUUUGUUGAUCAGGCGACACCCGAAUUUGAACUGGGGAAAAAGGAUUUGCAGCCCCCCACCUUACCACUUAUUUUAUAUAUUUUGACAUAUCAAACUCAGUACAGACAUAUAGGUACAUUAACUUAAUAUAACACAUUUUAGUACAUCCAUUUAUUCAU
Molecule: long non-coding RNA, 6699 nt
Filed under: Malus domestica (apple)
Lineage: Eukaryota; Viridiplantae; Streptophyta; Magnoliopsida; Rosales; Rosaceae
Description: long non-coding RNA (MDOM_LNC009038)
Source: RNAcentral